This 1905-nucleotide long non-coding RNA is filed under the name Homo sapiens (human). Its description in RNAcentral is "HSALNT0004609". The record is from RNAcentral. Lineage: Eukaryota; Metazoa; Chordata; Mammalia; Primates; Hominidae.
GUUUUCUGCGGAGCUGGCAUUUGGGUUUGGAUUUAAAGGGCAAGAAGGAGCCAGACAAGCCAAGGUGUAAGAGAAGAGUCCUCCAAGCAGCAGGGAAGCAAGUGCAAAGGUCCUUGCAGAAGCGAGCUUGGCAUAUUAGAGGGACAGAGGGAGGCCGGAGCAACUGGAGGGUCUUCAGAGACUAUCAAGUGCCAACAAGGGGAUUACCCCUCUGCCCCUCUAAAGGAUUGCAAGAAAGAAGACACCAAAUCCAUGGCAUUUUUUCCCUUAGGAAAGAAGGGAGAUAAUGAGAAGCCUCCACUUGGUAUUCCUUGGAGCAGCUGGAAGCUAAAAACCAAAUGUGGGAACUGUGAAUCCUAUCUCUGGGAUAUGUUUUCUCAGGAAAUGGAGGAAAUGGGUGGGCACGGGUGGCAAAAUAUUCCAGGGGAAUACUUCUUCCUGGGCCUUGUGGGGAACAACUCCCAAAAGGCCAGUGGUUCUCAGCUUUAAGCCUGUGUUAGAAUCACCUGCAGGGCUUAUUAAAACACAGAUUGCCGGGCCUUACCCCCAGAGUUUGAUUUAGUAUUUCUGGGAGUUGGAUCUAUAAUUUGCAUUUCUGAAAGUUCCCAGGUGAUACUGAUGCUCCUGGUCCCAGGACCACAGACAAAUUCUCCUUCUUGUAGCCCCUCAUUCACUCUGCGUAGGAGGCAUGGCUCAUCUGGCUGGUGGGUUUGGGAGGAGGAGCAGACCAUGCUCAGUUAGCCCUCCCCACUCUCCCUUUCUCUCUCUCCCCAUCGCCCUAGCUGCAGAGCAUAUUCAGACAGCUCUCCAAUCAGUUCAUCAGUAAUAAAGGUGACAUGCUGAUCCUCAUCUGUUUUUCUCUUGCAUCUGCCAAUUGAUUCUGCACUUGAGAGGGGAAUAAGUAUAUUUAUUUAUUGGGUUUCCCUCAAAUUCCAACAGAGAAGUUGGUAUCAGUUGCAAAACAAUCAACUGGCAUCCGGGCCACACAGCAGCAUAGGAAUCUUGGUUUUAGCUUCCACUAAAAUAUCAAUUAUUUGAGGGCAAAAAAUGUCCAAUUCCUGGGCCUUUAAGAUAGGAAGUCAGGUCUGUGGAUGGGGUGAGGUCACCAGGAUGAGGUCACAAAGGCAUUGAUGCCCCUUUGUCCUAUCAUGUGACCACUUGUCACACUUCCAUCAAACAGUACCUGCCCCUUAGGUGUGCUAGGGAAUAAAUGAAAUGCCUGGGACAUCAUCGUUAAGUGGCAUCUGAUGCAUAAGCAGUGCCCUAGGAAUGGGGUUGCCUGCCUUGGUCUCUAAAGGAUGGGUUCAAAAGGCAAGAGCAGCACACAAGAAGAUAGCUUCAAGCAGGAGAUAAAGCUUGGCCCAGGGCCCAAAGGGGAUACGACCCUUCAGCAAACUGACAUGCUGAAAGCUGCCCUAUGGAGAGGCUCAUGUGGCAAGGAACAGAGGGUGGCUUCUGGCCAACACCCAGUGAGGAACUCAGGCCCUCAGUCAAACAGCCUGCAAGGAACUGAACCCUGCCAAUAACCCUGGGUUGAAAGCUUCCCUUUGGAGAAGAACUGAGGGCUGUCUCUGGUCAAUAGCACUGAGGAACUGAAUCCAGCAAACAAUUAUGUGAAGAAACUUGGAAGCUUGUCCUCCCCUCUAGUUGAGCUUUGAGAUGACUGCCGCCCUAGUGGACACCUUGAUUGAAGCCUUAUGAGAAACCCUAAGCCAGAGAACCCAAUUAAGCUACGCUUACAUUCCUAACACAGAGAAAAUAUGAGCUAAUAAAUGUUGUUUCAAACCACUAAGCUUUGGAGUAAUAUGUGACACAGCAACAGACACCUAACGCACCUGCCCUAAGGUCGGGCUACACUGCAUUUUCCCCAGAAACAUUACACUCUCUCCUCCCCAGGGCCUUUGC